This 467-nucleotide ribosomal RNA is filed under the name uncultured bacterium. Its description in RNAcentral is "partial 16S ribosomal RNA". It matches the Rfam family "Bacterial small subunit ribosomal RNA", at positions 28 to 506 of the family's 1533-position model. The record is from RNAcentral.
GACGAACGCUGGCGGCGUGCUUAACACAUACAAGUCGAACGGAAAGGCCCUGCUUUUGUGGGGUGCUCGAGUGGCGAACGGGUGAGUAACACGUGAGUAACCUGCCCUUGACUUUGGGAUAACUUCAGGAAACUGGGGCUAAUACCGGAUAGGAGCUCCUGCUGCAUGGUGGGGGUUGGAAAGUUUCGGCGGUUGGGGAUGGACUCGCGGCUUAUCAGCUUGUUGGUGGGGUAGUGGCUUACCAAGGCUUUGACGGGUAGCCGGCCUGAGAGGGUGACCGGCCACAUUGGGACUGAGAUACGGCCCAGACUCCUACGGGAGGCAACAGUGGGGAAUAUUGCACAAUGGGCGGGAGCCUGAUGCAGCAACGCCGCGUGCGGGAUGACGGCCUUCGGGUUGUAAACCGCUUUCGCCUGUGACGAAGCGUGAGUGACGGUAAUGGGUAAAGAAGCACCGGCUAACUACGU